UAUGGCUCAGGAUGAACGCUGGCGGCGUGCUUAACACAUGCAAGUCGAACGGAGUUUUUAAACGGAAGUCCUCGGAUGGAAGUUUAGAAACUUAGUGGCGGACGGGUGAGUAACGCGUGGGUAACCUGCCUCAUACAGGGGGAUAACAGUCGGAAACGAUUGCUAAAACCGCAUAACAUAGCGAAACCGCAUGAUUUUGCUAUCAAAUAUUUAUAGGUAUGAGAUGGGCCCGCGUCUGAUUAGCUAGUUGGUGGGGUAAUGGCCUACCAAGGCGACGAUCAGUAGCCGGCUUGAGAGAGUGACCGGCCACAUUGGGACUGAGACACGGCCCAAACUCCUACGGGAGGCAGCAGUGGGGAAUAUUGGACAAUGGGGGAAACCCUGAUCCAGCCGACGCCGCGUGAGUGAAGAAGUAUUUCGGUAUGUAAAGCUCUAUCAGCAGGGAAGAUAAUGACAGUACCUGACUAAGAAGCCCCGGCUAACUACGUGCCAGCCGCCGC
RNAcentral lists this ribosomal RNA (500 nucleotides) under uncultured bacterium. RNAcentral describes it as "bacterial SSU rRNA". It matches the Rfam family "Bacterial small subunit ribosomal RNA", at positions 18 to 518 of the family's 1533-position model. The record is from RNAcentral.